RNAcentral lists this transfer RNA (71 nucleotides) under Helotiales sp. Its description in RNAcentral is "tRNA-Ser". It matches the Rfam family "tRNA". From Rfam's summary of the family: Transfer RNA (tRNA) molecules are approximately 80 nucleotides in length. The record is from RNAcentral. Lineage: Eukaryota; Fungi; Ascomycota; Leotiomycetes; Helotiales.
CUCUUAUUAGUUUAAUGGUAGAACAGGAUGUUCCUGACAUCUAUGUCCAAGUUCAAAUCUGGGAUAGGAAU